AUUUUAGAACCUUUAUUCUCUUCCUUCUCCUCUCAAGAAGACAGGUCUGUAGGAUCCAUAAACGGAGUUUCUCAUGGAUUCAUGUUGUCUAUACUUUAUGUCAUGGCCUCUCCUGUAGGCAAGAGCCCUGAAUGACUCCGGCAAGCAUCGAGAGGUGGACCUCACUGAUCAGAAGUUUGUCCCUAUAACUUCUACCCACUGAUUCCAGAUGUAUUGCGGCAACCACAUGAAACCAGGAUGACCCUUGAACAGCUCUCCGUGUCUACUUUUAUCCAUGCCCAACAGCCUUAUUUUCGAUGGUUUUUCCUAAGAGAGACAGAGCACGAACAGGGGAGAGGGGCAGAGGGGGAGAGAGAGAAUCUGAAGCAGGCCGGACGCCCAGUGCCCAGACCAACACGGGGCUCAGUCUCCCAACCUGGGGAUCGUGACCUGAGCCAAAACCAAGAGUCGGAUGCUCAACCAACUGAGCCACCCAGACGUAGGAUUAUCGUCGCCACGGCUUUUAUGUGUAUCAGCUUUAACUGAAAUCUUUUUGUUCUGGAUCAGAAACAGAAUGAAAAUGUUCAUGAAGCAUAGAAUGCAUAAACGAACGCCGUCUGCUUCUUACAGCCUGUAAAACAUUUUUAAUGUAAAAUAUUUUGAAAAAAAUAAAAGAAGAGAAACGUUUCAUAUCAUGGGAAAAGAUACCGAACUUGAAUUUCAGUGCCCAUAAACCAAGUUUUAUCAGAACACGACCAGGAUCACGUGUUGACAGACCGGCUGCGGCUGCCUUUCCCGCUACGAUGCCAGAGUCGAGGAGUUAGACAGGGACCCGUUUUUUCAGAAAUGUUUGCGGACCCCUGCUGUGUGGCCAUGGGGUUGGUGAACAAGGAGACUUUCAUAAAUACAAUGUGGAGAGAAAAGAGCUAGCCUCCAGAGUGCUUGCCUGUAACCCGCGCAAAAUUAAUCUACGGGGAGAGGAGUCUGAAGGCAGCGACCUCUGUGGGGAGGGGGGCAGUGAAUGGGUUUCCUGAACUAGGGGGCAUUUUCUGGGUGCUGGAAGGAUCUGCUUCUUGAUGUAGGCUCUGGAUACACGGAUGGGUUCCCCAAAAUUCACUGGACACUUAAACGAUUUGUUCUCUUUCCUGCAUCCGUGUUAGACCUCGAUCUUAAAGUUUACUUUAAAAUUUAAAGAAAGAGUGGUGUCUGGGGGGCUCAGUUAAGUGUCAGCCUUUUGAGUUCAGCUCAGGUCAUGAUCUUAUGGUUUGAGGGUUCAAGCCCUGCAUCUGGCUCUGCACUGACAGUGCA
Panthera uncia (snow leopard) is the source of this 1287-nucleotide long non-coding RNA. RefSeq lists it as uncharacterized. Lineage: Eukaryota; Metazoa; Chordata; Mammalia; Carnivora; Felidae. The record is from RefSeq and is a predicted model, not a curated record. The transcript is spliced from 4 exons.